This 274-nucleotide ribosomal RNA is filed under the name uncultured bacterium. Its description in RNAcentral is "partial 16S ribosomal RNA". It matches the Rfam family "Bacterial small subunit ribosomal RNA", at positions 523 to 796 of the family's 1533-position model. The record is from RNAcentral.
AUACGGAGGGUGUAAGCGUUAUCCGGAAUCAUUGGGUUUAAAGGGUCCGUAGGCGGACUAUUAAGUCAGAGGUGAAAUCCCACAGCUCAACUGUGGAACUGCCUUUGAUACUGGUAGUCUUGAGUUAUAUGGAAGUAGGUAGAAUGUGUAGAGUAGCGGUGAAAUGCAUAGAUAUUACACAGAAUACCGAUUGCGAAGGCAGUCUACUACGUAUAUACUGACGCUAAGGGACGAAAGCGUGGGGAGCGAACAGGAUUAGAAACCCUUGUAGUCC